This 1326-nucleotide ribosomal RNA is filed under the name Chryseobacterium sp. Its description in RNAcentral is "bacterial SSU rRNA". It matches the Rfam family "Bacterial small subunit ribosomal RNA", at positions 70 to 1404 of the family's 1533-position model. The record is from RNAcentral. Lineage: Bacteria; Pseudomonadati; Bacteroidota; Flavobacteriia; Flavobacteriales; Weeksellaceae.
UAGAGAUUCUUCGGGAUCUUGAGAGCGGCGUACGGGUGCGGAACACGUGUGCAACCUGCCUUUAUCUGGGGGAUAGCCUUUCGAAAGGAAGAUUAAUACCCCAUAAUAUACUGGAUGGCAUCAUUCGGUAUUGAAAACUCCGGUGGAUAGAGAUGGGCACGCGCAAGAUUAGAUAGUUGGUGAGGUAACGGCUCACCAAGUCUGCGAUCUUUAGGGGGCCUGAGAGGGUGAUCCCCCACACUGGUACUGAGACACGGACCAGACUCCUACGGGAGGCAGCAGUGAGGAAUAUUGGACAAUGGGUGAGAGCCUGAUCCAGCCAUCCCGCGUGAAGGACGACGGCCCUAUGGGUUGUAAACUUCUUUUGUAUAGGGAUAAACCUACUCUCGUGAGAGUAGCUGAAGGUACUAUACGAAUAAGCACCGGCUAACUCCGUGCCAGCAGCCGCGGUAAUACGGAGGGUGCAAGCGUUAUCCGGAUUUAUUGGGUUUAAAGGGUCCGUAGGCGGAUCUGUAAGUCAGUGGUGAAAUCUCACAGCUUAACUGUGAAACUGCCAUUGAUACUGCAGGUCUUGAGUGUUGUUGAAGUAGCUGGAAUAAGUAGUGUAGCGGUGAAAUGCAUAGAUAUUACUUAGAACACCAAUUGCGAAGGCAGGUUACUAAGCAACAACUGACGNUGAUGGACGAAAGCGUGGGGAGCGAACAGGAUUAGAUACCCUGGUAGUCCACGCNGUAAACGAUGCUAACUCGUUUUUGGGUUUUCGGAUUCAGAGACUAAGCGAAAGUGAUAAGUUAGCCACCUGGGGAGUACGUUCGCAAGAAUGAAACUCAAAGGAAUUGACGGGGGCCCGCACAAGCGGUGGAUUAUGUGGUUUAAUUCGAUGAUACGCGAGGAACCUUACCAAGGCUUAAAUGGGAAAUGACAGGUUUAGAAAUAGACUUUUCUUCGGACAUUUUUCAAGGUGCUGCAUGGUUGUCGUCAGCUCGUGCCGUGAGGUGUUAGGUUAAGUCCUGCAACGAGCGCAACCCCUGUCACUAGUUGCCAUCAUUAAGUUGGGGACUCUAGUGAGACUGCCUACGCAAGUAGAGAGGAAGGUGGGGAUGACGUCAAAUCAUCACGGCCCUUACGCCUUGGGCCACACACGUAAUACAAUGGCCGGUACAGAGGGCAGCUACACAGCGAUGUGAUGCAAAUCUCGAAAGCCGGUCUCAGUUCGGAUUGGAGUCUGCAACUCGACUCUAUGAAGCUGGAAUCGCUAGUAAUCGCGCAUCAGCCAUGGCGCGGUGAAUACGUUCCCGGGCCUUGUACACACCGCCCGUCAAGCCA